Long non-coding RNA from Folsomia candida, 676 nucleotides. RefSeq lists it as uncharacterized. The transcript has 4 exons. NCBI's taxonomy places the organism in Eukaryota, Metazoa, Arthropoda, Collembola, Entomobryomorpha, Isotomidae. The record is from RefSeq and is a predicted model, not a curated record.
UCGGGGUGAGGAAUAUUUUGAAAUUUUACGCCAUUUUGGACGACCACGUGGCCGAGUUUGUGCAGCUUUUCAGCAUCGGAUUAAACUUUUAUGUGGUAUAUAGUCUCGGAAAUUUAUUGUAUGUUAUGUAUUUCCUCGAAAUUACGAUUCAUAUUGAGCAGUAUUUUUUGAGUUUUGUCAAUAUUGGGAAAUUGGUCGUUUUCACGGCGUACUUUUACUGGUUGGCGAGCUGCUCGAGUGCGGUGGAAGAGAAGAGUGGGAGGUUUUGUAAGAUGGUGAGGUACGCGUGGAGUAGUAAUGGGUGGGGCGGCAGUGGUAAAGUGAGGAGAAAAAAUAACCAGCUCGAUGAUAACGUGGUCAUGUGUUUGGGAUUGGAACCCAUCGUCAUAAAAAAUUCCGUACUGGAUUUCAAUGUUCGGCUCCUGGUAUCGAUGAUUGCUGUCAUUGCAACGUAUUUGGUCAUCAUAUUUCAAUUCCAAGCAGAGGACACGGCUUAAAUAAGCCUUCAAAAAAAUUGGAAUGAUACCUGCAAAAUCACCUGACAACAAGGAAACUCGGAUUGUUUUUAACUUAAUUUUUAUACGCAUAGCAUCUAUUUCGAGUAAUUCUUAUUAUUUUCUAUACGGCCUCAUAAAAAUUUGAAUUAAAAAAUGAUAGCUUAGUUAAAAUCAGAGGA